GCUUCCAUAGCUCAGUAGGUAGAGCACCACCAUGGUAAGGUGGGGUCAGCAGUUCGAAUCUGCUUGGAAGCU
This 72-nucleotide transfer RNA is filed under the name Oceanobacillus sp. 143. RNAcentral describes it as "tRNA-Thr". It matches the Rfam family "tRNA". From Rfam's summary of the family: Transfer RNA (tRNA) molecules are approximately 80 nucleotides in length. Their secondary structure includes four short double-helical elements and three loops (D, anti-codon, and T loops). Further hydrogen bonds mediate the characteristic L-shaped molecular structure. tRNAs have two regions of fundamental functional importance: the anti-codon, which is responsible for specific mRNA codon recognition, and the 3' end, to which the tRNAs corresponding amino acid is attached (by aminoacyl-tRNA synthetases). tRNAs cope with the degeneracy of the genetic code in two manners: having more than one tRNA (with a specific anti-codon) for a particular amino acid; and 'wobble' base-pairing, i.e. permitting non-standard base-pairing at the 3rd anti-codon position. Lineage: Bacteria; Bacillati; Bacillota; Bacilli; Caryophanales; Bacillaceae. The record is from RNAcentral.